Molecule: unclassified non-coding RNA, 242 nt
Filed under: Hevea brasiliensis (rubber tree)
Lineage: Eukaryota; Viridiplantae; Streptophyta; Magnoliopsida; Malpighiales; Euphorbiaceae
Source: RNAcentral
UAGGCAGUACAUUGAGAUGUAUACUGUAUUCAUGGGGCGAUUACAGACUAUUCUCCCACCUAGUACAAACAUCCCAGAGGCCUAUGCUCAUGGAUCAAGUGAGGAACAGGCUUUUAUUCAGAACUUGGCACUAUUUUUCACCUCAUUUUACAAGUCGCAUAUUCGGGUUCUGGAAUCCACUCAGGAGAGUAUAGCUGCAUUGCUAAUGGGUCUUGAAUAUCUUAUUAACAUCUCAUAUGUUG